RNAcentral lists this long non-coding RNA (1885 nucleotides) under Triticum aestivum (bread wheat). RNAcentral's name for it is "long non-coding RNA (TAES_LNC006833)". Lineage: Eukaryota; Viridiplantae; Streptophyta; Magnoliopsida; Poales; Poaceae. The record is from RNAcentral.
CAAAAGUAAAUAACCUACUAAUAAUUUCUAACAUUUCUUUUUCAUUUUACACUAGAUGAGCACUGUAGCAUCGUAACUUCACUUCUAAUUUAGAUGAUCCGGCUCCGAAAUUCUCGGGCGUUUCCUCCGCCGAUAACUCUUAUCACUUGCAACGAACGAGUUGACCUGCACGCGCAACCGCCUGAUGAGAGCCCAACCAAACGUUGCCACUACUCCUCCAACACCACCAACCUCGCCGGCCGGCCGGCUGGCAGCGACACGUACGACGUACCAGGCCUUAACUUCACAUAAAAGGACAGAACAACAUCAGGAGAGAGGGAAGACCGGCCGGAGUAGCAACGUGCAUGCAGCAGCCAUGGAGCCAGCAACGGCAGCCGCAGCAGCUUGUCCUCGGUUGCUCGUGUCCCUCUUCCUCGUCCUAUCAUGCUUCGUGUCACCCGAGCUCGUCCAUGGCCAGCCCGACGCCCUCGGCUUCAUCAGCAUCGACUGCGGGAUCGCCGACGGCCCGAGCUACCCCGACGAGUCCACGCGCGGCCUGAGGUACGUCUCGGACGCCGGCUUCGUCGACGCCGGCGCGGGGGCCAACGCUGGCAUCAACCCGCCGUACAGCGACCGGGAACUGGCGGCGCGGUACCUCACCGUACGCCACUUCUCCGGUGGUGCUGCCCGCAACUGCUACACGCUCCGGGGGCUCUCGCCGGGAGGCAGGUACCUUGUCAGGUCCAGCUUCUACUACGGCAACUACGACGUGCUCAACAGGCCCCCGUCCUUCCACCUCUACCUCGGGGUCAACCGCUGGGCCGCCGUCAACGUCACCGCGGCCGAUGACAUGUACAUCUUCGAGGCCGUCGUCGUGUCCCCGGCUGAUUUCUUUCAGGUCCCAGGAGUCUAGGCAGACUUAACAAUUUGAGCUUUGUUGAGUGAACUGGUUGGUGACAAGUAUUUUUGGUUUACAUACAGGUGUGCCUGGUGGAAAUAGGACAGGGUACGCCCUUCAUCUCCGGGCUUGACCUGAGGCCGCUCAGGGCGGCCAUGUACCCGGAGGCCACCGUGAACCAGUCGCUGCUCCUGCUCAACGUUCGCCGGCCGGCGGCGAGAUUCGCCUUGAACCGCUACCACUUCUGGCGGCCGGCUAGUUUCUAUAAGAUAUACAGGUUCGCCCGGUGAUAACUACUGAUGCAUAUUGUAGUUGCCUGCCGAUUACUUGAUGUGAAGGUCAAAAUGGGUUAUCUUGACCAUUUGCACACAUCACGUAGGGCAGCAGCAUUCCUUGGUUUCUUGCACAAGUUUCCAUUUGGAUGAACAUUUUAAAAUAGGCUUUGCAGAGUUGUAAGAAAACCGCUAUGCACUUACUCUGCUCCAAAAUGACACCGCGUAUGCACACGGAAUAACAUAAAACCCUGAGCUUGAGUUUUCUCCUCCGUUUGAUUGUACUACCUUUUAUAGUUGAUGCUGCUCUUUAUGUUACCUGCAAAGCUCAUAUGAUCAAACGAUCAAUCAUCUUAAGAAACCACCCUGGAAGUGGUUAGCAAUCUCAGACAACUAACAAGGUUCUAAACAUUAUCACCUUUCUAGAACACAUGGUUUAUUAUCACAACUCCCUAGUCCCAGAGAGACUAACAUGUAGUUCCCCUUGAAAUGCGGUCAAACUGACAGCUGGCCAUUGACCCCACAGCUUGAUCUAAUAAAAAAAAGAUUAUAUCACUAUAUAAAUUGUUGUUGCACUUCAAUUCCUGAAUGAACUGCCAAGUAGCAUGACUGACACCUGGCCUUCUCUACCACCAAACCAAAUGCAUCAUUUUAGGUCGAUCAAGAGUCAAUUCUGCAAAAUCUAUUGGCCAAACCAGAGCCUGGAGUUUCAGGCACACGAGUUGCAAUUUCUGCC